This 667-nucleotide ribosomal RNA is filed under the name uncultured archaeon. RNAcentral's name for it is "bacterial SSU rRNA". It matches the Rfam family "Archaeal small subunit ribosomal RNA", at positions 141 to 811 of the family's 1478-position model. The record is from RNAcentral.
UGGAGAUAAUACCUGAUAGAGGAUAAAUACUGGAAGGUUUUAUUCUUCAAAGCUUCGGCACCUGAGGAUGGGACUGCGUCGGAUUAGCUUGUUGUCGGGAUAAUUACCCGACAAGGCGAUAAUCCGUACGGGUUGUGAGAGCAAUAGCCCGGAGAUGGAUUCUGAGACAUGAAUCCAGGUCCUACGGGACGCAGCAGGCGCGAAACCUUCACAAUGCCUGAAAGGGUGAUGAGGGAACUCUGAGUGACUUCGCAAUGCGAAGUCUUUUGCCAAGUGCAAAAAGCUCGGUGAAUAAGUGGUGGGCAAGACAGUUGCCAGCCGCCGCGGUAAUAACUGCGCCACGAGUGGUGAUCUCGUUUAUUGGGCUUAAAGCGUUCGUAGCCGGUUUUAUAAGCAUCUGGUGAAAUCCGAUAGUAAACUAUUGGGCUGGCUAGGUGUACUGUAAGACUAGGGACCGGUAGGGGCCGGGAGUACUCCUAGGGUAGGGGUUAAAUCCUUUAAUCCUAGGGGGACUACCAGUGGCGAAGGCGCCCGGCUAGAACGGGUCCGACGGUGAGGGACGAAAGCUGGGGGAGCGAUCCGGAUUAGAUACCCGGGUAGUCCCAGCUGUAAACGAUGCCCGCUUGGUGUGGUGAAACUUUCGUGGUUUUGCCGUACCGUAGCGAAA